This 858-nucleotide ribosomal RNA is filed under the name Lactobacillus crispatus. Its description in RNAcentral is "bacterial SSU rRNA". It matches the Rfam family "Bacterial small subunit ribosomal RNA", at positions 683 to 1533 of the family's 1533-position model. The record is from RNAcentral. Lineage: Bacteria; Bacillati; Bacillota; Bacilli; Lactobacillales; Lactobacillaceae.
GGAAUGCGUAGAUAUAUGGAAGAACACCAGUGGCGAAGGCGGCUCUCUGGUCUGCAACUGACGCUGAGGCUCGAAAGCAUGGGUAGCGAACAGGAUUAGAUACCCUGGUAGUCCAUGCCGUAAACGAUGAGUGCUAAGUGUUGGGAGGUUUCCGCCUCUCAGUGCUGCAGCUAACGCAUUAAGCACUCCGCCUGGGGAGUACGACCGCAAGGUUGAAACUCAAAGGAAUUGACGGGGGCCCGCACAAGCGGUGGAGCAUGUGGUUUAAUUCGAAGCAACGCGAAGAACCUUACCAGGUCUUGACAUCUAGUGCCAUUUGUAGAGAUACAAAGUUCCCUUCGGGGACGCUAAGACAGGUGGUGCAUGGCUGUCGUCAGCUCGUGUCGUGAGAUGUUGGGUUAAGUCCCGCAACGAGCGCAACCCUUGUUAUUAGUUGCCAGCAUUAAGUUGGGCACUCUAAUGAGACUGCCGGUGACAAACCGGAGGAAGGUGGGGAUGACGUCAAGUCAUCAUGCCCCUUAUGACCUGGGCUACACACGUGCUACAAUGGGCAGUACAACGAGAAGCGAGCCUGCGAAGGCAAGCGAAUCUCUGAAAGCUGUUCUCAGUUCGGACUGCAGUCUGCAACUCGACUGCACGAAGCUGGAAUCGCUAGUAAUCGCGGAUCAGCACGCCGCGGUGAAUACGUUCCCGGGCCUUGUACACACCGCCCGUCACACCAUGGGAGUCUGCAAUGCCCAAAGCCGGUGGCCUAACCUUCGGGAAGGAGCCGUCUAAGGCAGGGCAGAUGACUGGGGUGAAGUCGUAACAAGGUAGCCGUAGGAGAACCUGCGGCUGGAUCACCUCCUUUCUAAGGAA